Oxyura jamaicensis (ruddy duck) is the source of this 422-nucleotide long non-coding RNA. RefSeq lists it as uncharacterized. The transcript is spliced from 3 exons. NCBI's taxonomy places the organism in Eukaryota, Metazoa, Chordata, Aves, Anseriformes, Anatidae. The record is from RefSeq and is a predicted model, not a curated record.
UUGGGAGGUGAUAAAUAAAAGCAGCAGCAAGCUGUUCAUUUGAGAUUUACACUCUCAUGAUAAGAUCUUCUGAGUUCCUGAAGGGAGAAGAAGAAGAAGCAUUGACACAAAAUCCAAAGACCUCUGUGUUGAGAUGUGACUACCAUCAACAAACAAGUCCAAUCUUGCCUCUGGGGAGGUUGACGGGAAAAUUCUUGUUUGUCUUCUCUGAACCAAAUUCAUUACCGAUAUCACUGCAUUAAUAUGCUGACUGUAGCUGGCUGAACAAAAGAACGACCAUGUGGAUUGAAAGGAGAAACAAGUCGGAACUUUCACUGAGAGACAGUCUCAGUCAUUCCCGUAAACAGCAUGAAUUUUGCCCGUGAGGAAUGAAAUAAUGAAAUGAAGGAGGAAAGGCUGUUAUGCCUCUUCCUGUUUUACAA